This is a long non-coding RNA of Neodiprion fabricii, 203 nucleotides long. RefSeq lists it as uncharacterized. The transcript is spliced from 3 exons. The record is from RefSeq and is a predicted model, not a curated record. Lineage: Eukaryota; Metazoa; Arthropoda; Insecta; Hymenoptera; Diprionidae.
CAGAAUUAUCUCAUAUUCCUUGUCUUAUGUACAGACGAAUCCUGUUGACAAUUUGGCGACUGAGAUGGAGGCGUUAAACCGGAUCGUCAACCAGGACGAAAUGAUGGAUGAAAGUACAACGCCUCAACCUGGUGUUGCCUUGGACAGCGCGGAGGUCCCAAAAACUCCGAAUCCUAUCCCGAACGAGAAUACGAAGAAAAAAA